ACCCCCAAUCCCGAAACCCUCCGCCGUUCUCUCCCUCCCCUCCCCUCCCCUCUCACCUCUCCUCUCUCGGCGCGGGUUCCGGCCGGAGCUGCCGCCGGAGGGCGGUGGCGGCAGCGGCCCUCCCCUCCGGAUCUGGCGAGACGGCUACGUCCGCGGCUAGAUCCGGCACCGCCGCCGUCGGAUCUGGCGACCUGAGAAGGCGGCACGGAGGGUGGAGGCGGCGGCGGCCCUCUCCUCCGUCGUCGUCGCCGUGGUGCGACUUCCCACUGUUCCCGACCCCCUAGAUUGGAUAAGGAGGGGAGGAGGGCGGAGGGGAGGGUGAAGGAAGUUUUGGAGGGUGGCUACGCCGGGAGGGGGAUGGCGGUGGCCACCGCGGCCCCUACCCCAGCCGCGGCCUCCCAUCCACCUGCGCCCGCGCCGUACGGAAGCGACGGCAACGGCGUGCUCCGGCGCUCGCCCUCCCCCUCUUCCCACCACCCUCUCCUCCUCGGCCGCGCCUCCUGCCAACGUCCCCACCUCGCGCAGAUUGGGGGAAGUGGAUUCGGCAGGGAGGCAUGCCCACAUGGAGGUCGUCGACGCGGAGGAGCUCGCGGCCCUCGACGGCAACGCCUACAGUGCGGAGUUUGCCGGCGCGGGGAGCAGCAGGGCGGCGACUGCCGUCCUCCCCGCCUCGCACAGCCCUCCGCCUGCUCCGCUCUUCCCUCCUCGCCGAACCGAUGGCGCCGGCUGUCGUCCCCUACCUCACGGACGGCAGGGCACCGGGAAGGACUGAUCGUGCCGAUCCGACCUCUCCGACGGGAAGGGAGGGGCCAUAUGGCUGGGCUGCAGUCGAUUCGUGGGAACGACGGCGAGGCCGGAGGUAGUGCUAUCGAGCGGGUGGACGGUCGCCGCGGCUACCGCAGCUCGCGUCAUCGGCGGAUCCGGUGCCGUUGACCACCCUCCCCCCAGCCUCGCUCCACCUGUCGGCGUCGUUACUCCCGGCGCUCUUCCUCCGUCCGCGCCCUCCUCCUCCACUGUCGAGUUUGGUUGUUGGUGCCGGCCUCGCCGUCCUUCUGAGCCGGCCGGCGCGUUGGUUGGGCGUUGCGGGCGAGACGAUGCGUUCGUCUGACAUGCUGCGCACUGCCUCGCUGUCCACACCAUCGGCCCCGGUCUCACGUUGCUCAAUCCUCGUCCUGGAUGGACGCUCUCGGGGUCACUGCCCCCGUUGUUUGGGUCUGCGCGGUGGUCGUCACCAUUUUUUUUCGGGCUGCGCGUGGUCCUCACCGAAGCUCCUGGAACACGUCGUCGACUCAAGUGCCUUGCCUUCACCCACCACCAAUGCAGUUUGGUUUCAGCCUGAGCCUUCUCUUCUUUUUCUUUCGUUUUUUCUAUGUUUCUAUAUCAUUCACUCUUUGAGCUGUCACUGGACAGUAAUGGUUUGUGUAUUCUUCUCGCUGCCAAAAAGUCACUGACGAUUUGCAUUCUGCAUUGAAGAACCAAAGCAGGAAAGUGUGUGCAUCAUUUCUACAUUACUGCUACUGAAGAUUUAGAUAACCAUUACAAUCUUGAGGUUGAAGAUGAUAGUUGAGGAAUACUGGUUGCCAAUCCUGUCACUGCUGUAUGGCUCUUCCUCAACCUGCGUUGGUGGAAGAAUGCAGUUUUGGAUGCAUGAAGUAACCAAUUGUUACCUUAAUAAGUAUUGUGGUUUGAUGAAGAAAAUUUACUCACAGCUCACCCCCUUUUUUUUUUCUCUUGGCUUUUAUUCUUGUGGUGAUGUUUUUACUGGAUGCUCGUCAGUGAGGCAUGUGGUUUCCGAAUUUGUUGGCAGAAAUAUAGUUUUGCUCCUUGAUGUUCAACUUUUAAUCAUCUAUUAAUAUUGUCAAAAUGAAUCUGUCUAUCUUAUUAGGCAAAAGGAUAAGGUAAUGACACAUUUUUUGUUUCAAUUUUCCAAAUAAGUAUCAAGUUGUUGAUGUUUAAAGAACUCUUGUUCGGUAUUUUGACAAAUCAUGAAUAAUUCCAGUCCUUGCAUUAGUGAACGAUUCUGAAGCUACGCCAAAAGGAUCUCUAAUUGGCGAGAAGAUCCCAACCAACUUUCCUAUUGACCUUCUUGAGUGUAUUGUUCCAUUGCAUUUGUAUGUAAUACUGCAGAAUUUUGGACAGAAAAUCAUGUAGCAUGUUGGCACCUUGGAAUACACGACAAAUGAGCAGGAGCAGUCAGCAGACAUUUUGUUAUUGCUUUCAUUUGUGACCUCUUUCUUUAUCAAGAAGAAGACAAAUCAGUUACUCUGUCCAGUCGUAUUUGGAGUCUGAAAAUAUGGACACCGAUCCUUGAAUGCCGUUGCUGUAGAUGACCAUACAACAUAAUGUAACUCACUGUUUUUUUUUCAAGUUGUGUAAUGCAAUUCACUGUAUGGUAGUAUAUUA
Molecule: non-coding RNA, 2403 nt
Organism: Oryza sativa Japonica Group (Japanese rice)
Lineage: Eukaryota; Viridiplantae; Streptophyta; Magnoliopsida; Poales; Poaceae
Source: RefSeq, a predicted model, not a curated record